RNAcentral lists this ribosomal RNA (2898 nucleotides) under Escherichia coli. RNAcentral's name for it is "23S ribosomal RNA". It matches the Rfam family "Bacterial large subunit ribosomal RNA". The record is from RNAcentral. Lineage: Bacteria; Pseudomonadati; Pseudomonadota; Gammaproteobacteria; Enterobacterales; Enterobacteriaceae.
GGUUAAGCGACUAAGCGUACACGGUGGAUGCCACGGCAGUCAGAGGCGAUGAAGGACGUGCUAAUCUGCGAUAAGCGUCGGUGAGGUGAUAUGAACCGUUAUAACCGGCGAUUUCCGAAUGGGGAAACCCAGUGUGUUUCGACACACUAUCAUUAACUGAAUCCAUAGGUUAAUGAGGCGAACCGGGGAACUGAAACAUCUAAGUACCCCGAGGAAAAGAAAUCAACCGAGAUUCCCCAGUAGCGGCGAGCGAACGGGGAGGAGCCCAGAGCCUGAAUCAGUGUGUGUGUUAGUGGAAGCGUCUGGAAAGGCGCGCGAUACAGGGUGACAGCCCCGUACACAAAAAUGCACAUGCUGUGAGCUCGAUGAGUAGGGCGGGACACGUGGUAUCCUGUCUGAAUAUGGGGGACCAUCCUCCAAGGCUAAAUACUCCUGACUGACCGAUAGUGAACCAGUACCGUGAGGGAAAGGCGAAAAGAACCCCGGCGAGGGGAGUGAAAAGAACCUGAAACCGUGUACGUACAAGCAGUGGGAGCCUCUUAAUGGGGUGACUGCGUACCUUUUGUAUAAUGGGUCAGCGACUUAUAUUCUGUAGCAAGGUUAACCGAAUAGGGGAGCCGAAGGGAAACCGAGUCUUAACUGGGCGUUAAGUUGCAGGGUAUAGACCCGAAACCCGGUGAUCUAGCCAUGGGCAGGUUGAAGGUUGGGUAACACUAACUGGAGGACCGAACCGACUAAUGUUGAAAAAUUAGCGGAUGACUUGUGGCUGGGGGUGAAAGGCCAAUCAAACCGGGAGAUAGCUGGUUCUCCCCGAAAGCUAUUUAGGUAGCGCCUCGUGAAUUCAUCUCCGGGGUAGAGCACUGUUUCGGCAAGGGGGUCAUCCCGACUUACCAACCCGAUGCAAACUGCGAAUACCGGAGAAUGUUAUCACGGGAGACACACGGCGGGUGCUAACGUCCGUCGUGAAGAGGGAAACAACCCAGACCGCCAGCUAAGGUCCCAAAGUCAUGGUUAAGUGGGAAACGAUGUGGGAAGGCCCAGACAGCCGGGAUGUUGGCUUAGAAGCAGCCAUCAUUUAAAGAAAGCGUAAUAGCUCACUGGUCGAGUCGGCCUGCGCGGAAGAUGUAACGGGGCUAAACCAUGCACCGAAGCUGCGGCAGCGACACUAUGUGUUGUUGGGUAGGGGAGCGUUCUGUAAGCCUGUGAAGGUGUGCUGUGAGGCAUGCUGGAGGUAUCAGAAGUGCGAAUGCUGACAUAAGUAACGAUAAAGCGGGUGAAAAGCCCGCUCGCCGGAAGACCAAGGGUUCCUGUCCAACGUUAAUCGGGGCAGGGUGAGUCGACCCCUAAGGCGAGGCCGAAAGGCGUAGUCGAUGGGAAACAGGUUAAUAUUCCUGUACUUGGUGUUACUGCGAAGGGGGACGGAGAAGGCUAUGUUGGCCGGGCGACGGUUGUCCCGGUUUAAGCGUGUAGGCUGGUUUUCCGGGCAAAUCCGGAAAACCAAGGCUGAGGCGUGAUGACGAGGCACUACGGUGCUGAAGCGACAAAUGCCCUGCUUCCGGGAAAAGCCUCUAAGCAUCAGGUAACAUCAAAUCGUACCCCAAACCGACACAGGUGGUCAGGUAGAGAAUACCAAGGCGCUUGAGAGAACUCGGGUGAAGGAACUAGGCAAAAUGGUGCCGUAACUUCGGGAGAAGGCACGCUGAUAUGUAGGUGAAGCGACUUGCUCGUGGAGCUGAAAUCAGUCGAAGAUACCAGCUGGCUGCAACUGUUUAUUAAAAACACAGCACUGUGCAAACACGAAAGUGGACGUAUACGGUGUGACGCCUGCCCGGUGCCGGAAGGUUAAUUGAUGGGGUUAGCGGUAACGCGAAGCUCUUGAUCGAAGCCCCGGUAAACGGCGGCCGUAACUAUAACGGUCCUAAGGUAGCGAAAUUCCUUGUCGGGUAAGUUCCGACCUGCACGAAUGGCGUAAUGAUGGCCGGGCUGUCUCCACCCGAGACUCAGUGAAAUUGAACUCGCUGUGAAGAUGCAGUGUACCCGCGGCAAGACGGAAAGACCCCGUGAACCUUUACUAUAGCUUGACACUGAACAUUGAGCCUUGAUGUGUAGGAUAGGUGGGAGGCUUUGAAGUGUGGACGCCAGUCUGCAUGGAGCCGACCUUGAAAUACCACCCUUUAAUGUUUGAUGUUCUAACGUUGGCCCGUAAUCCGGGUUGCGGACAGUGUCUGGUGGGUAGUUUGACUGGGGCGGUCUCCUCCUAAAGAGUAACGGAGGAGCACGAAGGUUGGCUAAUCUCGGUCGGACAUCAGGAGGUUAGUGCAAUGGCAUAAGCCAGCUUGACUGCGAGCGUGACGGCGCGAGCAGGUGCGAAAGCAGGUCAUAGUGAUCCGGUGGUUCUGAAUGGAAGGGCCAUCGCUCAACGGAUAAAAGGUACUCCGGGGAUAACAGGCUGAUACCGCCCAAGAGUUCAUAUCGACGGCGGUGUUUGGCACCUCGAUGUCGGCUCAUCACAUCCUCGGGGCUGAAGUAGGUCCCAAGGGUAUGGCUGUUCGCCAUUUAAAGUGGUACGCGAGCUGGGUUUAGAACGUCGUGAGACAGUUCGGUCCCUAUCUGCCGUGGGCGCUGGAGAACUGAGGGGGCUGCUCCUAGUACGAGAGGACCGGAGUGGACGCAUCACUGGUGUUCGGGUUGUCAUGCCAAUGGCACUGCCCGGUAGCUAAAUGCGGAAGAGAUAAGUGCUGAAAGCAUCUAAGCACGAAACUUGCCCCGAGAUGAGUUCUCCCUGAGACUUAGAGUCUCCUGAAGGAACGUUGAAGACGACGACGUUGAUAGGCCGGGUGUGUAAGCGCAGCGAUGCGUUGAGCUAACCGGUACUAAUGAACCGUGAGGCUUAACCUU